CUACGUCGCGGUCGACGCCGCGCUUCGAACCGUUCCGCCCGUGGUUUCGACCGGGGCGGCGGUUCUAGACACGUCGGUCUUCUCGCGCCAGAUCCUAGCGAGAUACGACCCUCCGUCCGCAUGGACGGACGAAGCUAACUACGGCGGGUUUCGGAUCGGCGCUUCGGCGUCGUUUCGGCUCGCGCGUCCGGCUCGGCUCUAGAGCUCGGUUCGCGCGAAGUCCGAACGGCGUCGGUCGGUUCGUACCGUCGUUAACCUUUUAACGCCGACCUCAGAUCGGACGAGAUUACCCGCUGAAUUUAAGCAUAUAACUAAGCGGAG
RNAcentral lists this ribosomal RNA (321 nucleotides) under Fiona pinnata. Its description in RNAcentral is "eukaryotic LSU rRNA". The stretch from base 267 to 321 matches the Rfam family "Eukaryotic large subunit ribosomal RNA", at positions 1 to 55 of the family's 3401-position model. Lineage: Eukaryota; Metazoa; Mollusca; Gastropoda; Nudibranchia; Fionidae. The record is from RNAcentral.